CACCAUUAACCACAUUGUGUGACUGUAAGUGAUGAGAUUGGUUCUCCUGAAAGAUGGCAGUCUAACUCUGAACAAAGUUCCCCAAGGAGGAGGAAACAUGCCAUUUUGAACAACGGUGCCAUCGCUGGAAAAGGCAUCCAGUCUCUCUACUUCGAAGACCAGCACUUAUUCAGGUGGUUCCAGGGAGAAACCGUCCCAGGACCCAUGUACGGGCACAGCUGUUUCCCCUGAUCAGGAUCCUUGCUGCACCCAACAGGGAAAGGAAAUUCCUAAGCAAGGAACACUGCUCAGAAAGUACUGUACCAUGUCUCCAAAUCCCUGAGAAUCAAGUCGGAAAACUGGAAGCAACGGAAAGCACUAUAAG
Vicugna pacos (alpaca) is the source of this 364-nucleotide non-coding RNA. The record is from RefSeq and is a predicted model, not a curated record. Lineage: Eukaryota; Metazoa; Chordata; Mammalia; Artiodactyla; Camelidae.